GACGAACGCUGGCGGCGUGCUUAACACAUGCAAGUCGAACGGAAAGGCCCUGCUUUUGUGGGGUGCUCGAUUGGCGAACGUGUGAUUAACACGUGAGUAACCUUCCCUUUACUUUGGUAUAUCUUCAGGUAACUGGUGCUAAUACCGUAUAUGAGCUCCUGCUGCUUGGUGGUGGUUGGAAAGUUUCGGCGGUUGGGGAUGGACUCGCUGCUUAUCAGCUUGUUGGUGGGGUAGUGGCUUACCAAGGCUUUGACGGUUAGGAGGCCUGAGAGGGUGACCGGCAAAAAGGGGACAGAGAUACGGAAAAGAGUAGUACGGGAGGCAGCAGGGGGGAAGAUGGCACAAAGGGGGGAAGCGUGAUGAAGAAAGGCAGGGAGAGGGAUGAGGGCAUGCGGGUAGUAAAAAGAAAUCGAAUGUGAAGAAGAGUGAGUGACGGUAAUGGGAAAAGAAGCACCGGCUAACUACGUG
This 468-nucleotide ribosomal RNA is filed under the name uncultured bacterium. Its description in RNAcentral is "partial 16S ribosomal RNA". It matches the Rfam family "Bacterial small subunit ribosomal RNA", at positions 28 to 507 of the family's 1533-position model. The record is from RNAcentral.